UAAGCAGGGAAAUGUGUGUAUCGGCUUUGCGCGAUCAAAGAUCAGAUGCGCUCUGCUGAAAGGUAAUACCUGCGACAUUGAUUGAGGGGAAGAUGGGCAGUUGUGAUUCAAACUCUCCUGUUGAAUCUUUCAACAAUCAUCUUCCCCAUAUUC
Non-coding RNA from Punica granatum (pomegranate), 153 nucleotides. The record is from Rfam. NCBI's taxonomy places the organism in Eukaryota, Viridiplantae, Streptophyta, Magnoliopsida, Myrtales, Lythraceae.